GUUGGGUCACAAUGGCAGGGCUUGAUUGACCACCACCAUACUGGCUUGCGAGCCCUUGAGACAGUCCAUAGCCAGUGGAGCCUUGAGAACCACUGUAAGCACUCGAUAAACUGGAGGUGGAGGAACCAUUAGCUGUUGUGGCACCUUCAGUUGCCUUCUGGGUUACAGUUAAUGCAGGAGCAGAGCCAAGUUGAUUUGUGCCUUGCUGUGUCUGGAAACUAACAUAGGGUCUGGAAAGUCCUAGGGACAACCAGUCGGAAAGUGUGCUUUGCGAACCAGUGUGGGAGCUGGAAGACAUGCCAGAGGCUUGUUGGUUCAAAGUUAAAGCAGGGGCAGAGCUCAAUUGGUUUUUGUCUUGCUGUGUUUGGAAACUACCAUAUUGGCUGCCAAGCCCUUGUGAAAGCCCAUAGACAGUUGAGCCUCUGCUUUGUGAGGCAACGUUCUGUUUUCGGAAAGCUUGAAAACCUGGGAACACUGGCUUGUAGUAAACAAAAGAGCCAUUUGUCAGGGCUUCCGAUGAAGAUAAGCCUGUCCAUAAAUCUAUCUUAGUUUGCAGAACUCCAGCAUUGGUUUUACUUUCAUCCCUCAAGGCUGUGGAAGUUUGGGCUCCAUCAGGAAAGGAUGCAGUUUCCUGCAGCUGAUCCAGAGAGGUCUUGCCAUCAACACUGUACCAAUCUUCUGCAGGGCUUUUACUCCACACUUGUUAGAAGAAAAAUAAUUUGAAGGUCAUACAGACACAACAAUUUAUGAACAUCAAU
Molecule: long non-coding RNA, 758 nt
Organism: Ictalurus punctatus (channel catfish)
Lineage: Eukaryota; Metazoa; Chordata; Actinopteri; Siluriformes; Ictaluridae
Source: Ensembl